GUCCAUGAGGGCGAUCUGGCUGUGGCAUCUGUCGCCUCAUUGAUCACCAGGGUGGAUUCUGCUGAUCUAGCUGGCUAGGUGGAUGUCUGCUCCUACCUCACUGCUCCAUGUGCGACCCCCCUGAAGCUGCAUGCAUGGUGGAAGGGGACAACCUUCCCCAAAUAGAGGAGGACCAGUCUUCAGUCAAGGGUACACUUACCAGUAACUGCGCUCCCCUGUUAGAACCUCCAAACGAGCUCUCAAGUGAUAGAAUUUCAUAUAUAAAACAAAAUUGUCACUGUGGGUUUGCAAGAUGCAUUAUGUUGCUUCAA
Molecule: unclassified non-coding RNA, 311 nt
Organism: Cricetulus griseus (Chinese hamster)
Lineage: Eukaryota; Metazoa; Chordata; Mammalia; Rodentia; Cricetidae
Gene: 7SK
Rfam family: 7SK RNA
About the family: 7SK was discovered as an abundant small nuclear RNA in the mid-70s but a possible function has only recently been suggested.
Source: Ensembl